AGACUUCUGCAUCUUUAGGAUAUUCUAGUCCAACAUCGAGGUCACAACCCCCUCUUUCGAUUAGGUCUCUUAAGAGAGAUUAUGCUGUUAUCCCUGCGGUAACUAAUUUUUUUAGUCAGCUUUAGCCGGAUCAAAACAUAUAGGUCAAGAAAAAUAAGGAAGCUUUUUUUGUUCCUUGGUCGCCCCAACCAAAAAUAACAAUAGAAUUUUAUUUGAGAUCAUAUAUAAAUUUCUAACUUACUUUUUAAGCUCGACAGGG
RNAcentral lists this ribosomal RNA (259 nucleotides) under Turritella terebra. RNAcentral describes it as "partial 16S ribosomal RNA". The record is from RNAcentral. Lineage: Eukaryota; Metazoa; Mollusca; Gastropoda; Turritellidae.